AAGCUUUUUUGAUCUGGGCUGGACUCAACGGCCAUGGCCACAAAAAAACAAUCUUCCAAAACCUAGAUCAAACCCCCUUAGAUCUUCUUCCUCCUCAUCAAUCCUUCAUUAAUCUGCCUCCAUUUCAUCUCUGUUUAACUAUGUCAACAGAGGAGCAAGCACCACCGUCCCAAGAGAUGCAGUCCCUCUCGGUCAAUUCUUCCUAUUCAAAUUCUAUUCCUGCCUCCUCUUCUUCCUCUUCCCAGCUGAGUGCAGAGGAGAGGUUUCGGAUUGUAAGGAGCGUUGGAGAAGAGUGUAUACAAGAGGAUGAACUCUUCAAUCUUCUUUCCAAAAAGCCCCAACCCAUUUGCUAUGAUGGCUUCGAGCCUUCUGGGAGAAUGCACAUUGCCCAGGGAGUUAUGAAGACUAUAAAUGUGAAUAAACUGACGUCUGCUGGUUGCAAAGUGAAAAUUUGGAUUGCUGAUUGGUUUGCCCAGCUAAACAACAAAAUGGGAGGAGACUUGAAGAAAAUUCAAACGGUAGGACGUUAUUUGAUUGAGAUAUGGAAGGCAGUUGGGAUGGAUCUUGAAGGAGAUAAAGUGGAAUUUCUCUGGUCUUCAGAGGAAAUUAACUCUCGGGCAUUUGAGUACUGGCCUCUUGUAAUGGACAUUGCGCGCAGGAACAAGCUUCCCAGGAUAAUGAGGUGUGUUCAAAUAAUGGGUCGUAGUGAGCAAGACGAGCUGACAGCAGCCCAGAUUCUGUAUCCAUGCAUGCAGUGUGCUGACAUAUUUUUUCUCAAGGCUGACAUUUGUCAGCUGGGCAUGGAUCAACGGAAAGUGAAUGUUCUUGCAAGAGAAUACUGUGAUGACAUCAAGAGGAAAAACAAGCCCAUCAUUUUAUCUCAUCACAUGCUCCCGGGUUUACAACAAGGGCAAGAAAAGAUGUCUAAAAGUGAUCCAUCUUCUUCCAUCUUUAUGGAGGACGAAGAGGCAGAAGUAAAUGUGAAGAUAAAGAAGGCAUAUUGUCCCCCAAAAAUUGUUGAUGGGAAUCCUUGUCUGGACUACAUCAAAUUCAUUAUCUUCCCAUGGUUUAAUGAAUUUAAGGUGGAGCGCAGUGUUGAAAAUGGUGGAGAAAAGAUCUUUAAAAGCUUUGAAGAAGUUGUUGCUGAAUAUGAAAGUGGUGAACUGCAUCCUGGUGACCUGAAACCUUCUCUGGCUAGAGCAUUAAAUAAGAUACUGCAGCCUGUACGUGAUCAUUUCAACAAUGAUGCUAAUGCUAAGGAUCUGUUGAAACGGGUUAAGGGUUAUAGAGUAACACGGUGAUGCUGAAGAACAUGUUUGUGUUAGCUUCUCUGGUUGUUCAUGCUGAGGAAGAGGGGAUGGAGGUGCGGACAACUACAAGAAGUAGCAAGCAGAGGGUGACAGCAAGCAGCGGUCGACGGCUAGCAAUGUGAAAUGGCAAGCAACAGCACACGAUGGUGAACGGCGCGAGUCACUAGCGAUGACAAGCGACGCAAGCUGCAUGUGAUGACGAACAGGGAGAGAUACGAGCGGCUGGUAACGACCGGGUGAUGCAAGCGACAGGUGACAGUGAGUAGUGACAAACGGCGAAGAAAUUCAGUUGAAUUUUGAUUUUUAAUUUUUGAUAAUUUAGAUUUAUCUAUUUUGAUUUGUGCUGGAUUUAUGGAAUUUAAAUCUUGAAUUUAUUUUUUUUUUUGUUUGUGGAGAUUAAAUUUAAAAAUUUUAAUUUAUUGCUGGGAUUUG
RNA transcript from Manihot esculenta (cassava), 1742 nucleotides. It is a transcript of the gene named tyrosine--tRNA ligase 1, cytoplasmic, with no coding region annotated. The transcript has 11 exons. NCBI's taxonomy places the organism in Eukaryota, Viridiplantae, Streptophyta, Magnoliopsida, Malpighiales, Euphorbiaceae. The record is from RefSeq and is a predicted model, not a curated record.